UUCACACUGUAGUGAUGGUCCUAGGUGAUGUUCACACUGUAGUGAUGGUCCCAGGUGAUGUUCACACUGUAGUGAUGGUCCUAGGUGAUGUUCACACUGUAGUGAUG
Molecule: long non-coding RNA, 107 nt
Organism: Homarus americanus (American lobster)
Lineage: Eukaryota; Metazoa; Arthropoda; Malacostraca; Decapoda; Nephropidae
Exons: 3
Source: RefSeq, a predicted model, not a curated record